Molecule: ribosomal RNA, 854 nt
Filed under: human gut metagenome
Description: bacterial SSU rRNA
Rfam family: Bacterial small subunit ribosomal RNA
Source: RNAcentral
CUCAGGAUGAACGCUGGCGGCGUGCCUAAUACAUGCAAGUCGAACGCUUCACUUCGGUGAAGAGUGGCGAACGGGUGAGUAAUACAUAAGUAACCUGGCAUCUACAGGGGGAUAACUGAUGGAAACGUCAGCUAAGACCGCAUAGGUGUAGAGAUCGCAUGAACUCUAUAUGAAAAGUGCUACGGGACUGGUAGAUGAUGGACUUAUGGCGCAUUAGCUGGUUGGUAGGGUAACGGCCUACCAAGGCGACGAUGCGUAGCCGACCUGAGAGGGUGACCGGCCACACUGGGACUGAGACACGGCCCAGACUCCUACGGGAGGCAGCAGUAGGGAAUUUUCGGCAAUGGGGGAAACCCUGACCGAGCAACGCCGCGUGAAGGAAGAAGUAAUUCGUUAUGUAAACUUCUGUCAUAGAGGAAGAACGGUGGAUAUAGGGAAUGAUAUCCAAGUGACGGUACUCUAUAAGAAAGCCACGGCUAACUACGUGCCAGCAGCCGCGGUAAUACGUAGGUGGCGAGCGUUAUCCGGAAUUAUUGGGCGUAAAGAGGGAGCAGGCGGCACUAAGGGUCUGUGGUGAAAGAUCGAAGCUUAACUUCGGUAAGCCAUGGAAACCGUAGAGCUAGAGUGUGUGAGAGGAUCGUGGAAUUCCAUGUGUAGCGGUGAAAUGCGUAGAUAUAUGGAGGAACACCAGUGGCGAAGGCGACGAUCUGGCGCAUAACUGACGCUCAGUCCCGAAAGCGUGGGGAGCAAAUAGGAUUAGAUACCCUAGUAGUCCACGCCGUAAACGAUGAGUACUAAGUGUUGGGGGUCAAACCUCAGUGCUGCAGUUAACGCAAUAAGUACUCCGCCUGAGU